Molecule: ribosomal RNA, 830 nt
Filed under: Pantoea sp. enrichment culture clone SRC_NBA13
Lineage: Bacteria; Pseudomonadati; Pseudomonadota; Gammaproteobacteria; Enterobacterales; Erwiniaceae
Description: bacterial SSU rRNA
Rfam family: Bacterial small subunit ribosomal RNA
Source: RNAcentral
UGUAGCGGUGAAAUGCGUAGAGAUGUGGAGGAAUACCGGUGGCGAAGGCGGCCCCCUGGACAAAGACUGACGCUCAGGUGCGAAAGCGUGGGGAGCAAACAGGAUUAGAUACCCUGGUAGUCCACGCUGUAAACGAUGUCGAUUUGGAGGUUGUUCCCUUGAGGAGUGGCUUCCGGAGCUAACGCGUUAAAUCGACCGCCUGGGGAGUACGGCCGCAAGGUUAAAACUCAAAUGAAUUGACGGGGGCCCGCACAAGCGGUGGAGCAUGUGGUUUAAUUCGAUGCAACGCGAAGAACCUUACCUACUCUUGACAUCCAGAGAACUUAGCAGAGAUGCUUUGGUGCCUUCGGGAACUCUGAGACAGGUGCUGCAUGGCUGUCGUCAGCUCGUGUUGUGAAAUGUUGGGUCAAGUCCCGCAACGAGCGCAACCCUUAUCCUUUGUUGCCAGCGAUUCGGUCGGGGACUCAAAGGAGACUGCCGGUGAUAAACCGGAGGAAGGUGGGGGUGACGUCAAGUCAUCAUGGCCCUUACGACCAGGGCUACACACGUGCUACAAUGGCGCAUACAAAGAGAAGCGACCUCGCGAGAGCAAGCGGACCUCAUAAAGUGCGUCGUAGUCCGGAUUGGAGUCUGCAACUCGACUCCAUGAAGUCGGAAUCGCUAGUAAUCGUGGAUCAGAAUGCCACGGUGAAUACGUUCCCGGGCCUUGUACACACCGCCCGUCACACCAUGGGAGUGGGUUGCAAAAGAAGUAGGUAGCUUAACCUUCGGGAGGGCGCUUACCACUUUGUGAUUCAUGACUGGGGUGAAGUCGUAACAAGGUAGCCGUA